ACCGAUUCGAGUACAUCAACGCCGGUCUAUACUUGUUCGCUACCAUAUUGCUCGCUGGUGGGUUCGUAGCUCAGAUCUCGAAAGAGCAAUUGUCCGGUUUGGUUCUGUUGCAGAUAGCGUUGGCGGUGAUCGUUGUAGUGAAUGUGCAUGAUCUUCUAGCUCACCUCGCUGGAAUCGAUUAUAGAUUUCUAUUGCUCGGAUUUGACCCGCAGCUUGCCCUCGUCGAAUUCGCUGUGCCCGUAGUUCACUCCGUAGGAACAAUUCUCAACUUCAUAGCCAUUCUGUUUCUCUUCACUCAGGCAGAAAAGGGGUAUGGCAGUCACAAAAUGGAGAAG
This 335-nucleotide unclassified non-coding RNA is filed under the name Hevea brasiliensis (rubber tree). The record is from RNAcentral. Lineage: Eukaryota; Viridiplantae; Streptophyta; Magnoliopsida; Malpighiales; Euphorbiaceae.